Molecule: ribosomal RNA, 1703 nt
Filed under: Cladophialophora subtilis
Lineage: Eukaryota; Fungi; Ascomycota; Eurotiomycetes; Chaetothyriales; Herpotrichiellaceae
Description: eukaryotic LSU rRNA
Rfam family: Eukaryotic large subunit ribosomal RNA
Source: RNAcentral
CCUCAGUAACGGCGAGUGAAGCGGCAAUAGCUCAAAUUUGAAAUCUGGCCUCUCGGGGUCCGAGUUGUAAUUUGUAGAGGAUGUUUUGGGUACCGCCCCGGUUUAAAUUUCUUGGAACAGAAUGUCAGAGAGGGUGAGAAUCCCGUCUUGGACCGGUGGUAGGGCCUGUGUAAAACUCCUUCGACGAGUCGAGUUGUUUGGGAAUGCAGCUCAAAAUGGGUGGUAAAUUUCAUCUAAAGCUAAAUAUUGGCCAGAGACCGAUAGCGCACAAGUAGAGUGAUCGAAAGAUGAAAAGAACUUUGAAAAGAGAGUUAAACAGUAUGUGAAAUUGUUGAAAGGGAAGCGCUUGCAACCAGACUUGAGCGCGACGGUUCCCCUAGCCUUUUGGCUAGGUUACUCCGUCGUGUCCAGGCCAACAUCGGUUCUGAGGGUCGUUUAAAGGCCCUGGGAAUGUAUCUACCCCCGGGUAGACUUAUAGACCAGGGCGUCAUGCGGCCUCUCGGGACCGAGGAACGCGCUUCGGCUCGGAUGUUGGCGUAAUGGUUGCCAGCGACCCGUCUUGAAACACGGACCAAGGAGUCUAACAUCUAUGCGAGUGUUUGGGUGUCAAACCCGGAACGCGAAAUGAAAGUGAACGGAGGUGGGAAGCUUCGGCUGCACCAUCGACCGAUCCUGAAGUUUACGGAUGGAUUUGAGUAAGAGCAUAGCUGUUGGGACCCGAAAGAUGGUGAACUAUGCCUGAAUAGGGUGAAGCCAGAGGAAACUCUGGUGGAGGCUCGCAGCGGUUCUGACGUGCAAAUCGAUCGUCAAAUUUGGGUAUAGGGGGCGAAAGACUAAUCGAACCAUUAAAUGUUACCGGUGGUUAAGUGUAACCGUGAAAGUGGUUGCAAGUGCCUAGUUCUGGCGCGACACUGUCAAAUUUGCGGGGACUCCCUAAAGCUUCGACGACCGCCCAGUCUAUGAAAGUAGGCUGGAGCACCAGGUUAAUGACCUCGGGUAUGGUAAAACUGUCGAAGAUGUUAACAAUGGGUAAUCUGCAGCCAAGUCCUAACGGCCCCCCAAGGCCUACGGAUGCAGUUCACAGACUAAAUGGCAGUGGGCUCAAUAGGUGGGCUUAAGAUAUAGUCGGUCCCCCAGGGAAACCUGGGCGCUUACGCUAAACCUAGGGUAGAGACUCUACUUCACGUAGUUACCCUGGACCUGAACGGAGCGGGCACUCUCGGGUGUCGGAAUAAACGCUGGUAGCUGGUUCCUGCCGAAGUUUCCCUCAGGAUAGCAGUAACGUUUUCAGUUUUAUGAGGUAAAGCGAAUGAUUAGAGGCCUUGGGGUUGAAACAACCUUAACCUAUUCUCAAACUUUAAAUAUGUAAGAAGUCCUUGUUACUUAAUUGAACGUGGACAUUCGAAUGUAUCGUUACUAGUGGGCCAUUUUUGGUAAGCAGAACUGGCGAUGCGGGAUGAACCGAACGUGAGGUUAAGGUGCCGGAAUGCACGCUCAUCAGACACCACAAAAGGUGUCAAUGCAUCUAGACAGCCGGACGGUGGCCAUGGAAGUCGGAAUCCGCUUAGGAGUGUGUAACAACUCACCGGCCGAAUGCAUUGGCCCUGAAAAUGGAUGGCGCUUAAGCGUGCUACCUAUACCUCGCCGUUAGGGUUGACAUGAUGCCCUAACGAGUAGGCAGGCGUGGAGGUCCGUGACGAAGC